AACUGGCUAUUUGGGUAUUAGCGCAGAAGAUAUACACAGAUAAACCGGAAAUGAUGAAAAGGACAAACUCACAUGAGCCGAACCAGAUCAUUCAUGGGCCCCUACGUAGUAUAAUCCUUCCUCUCCUUCUCCUUCUCCUUCUCCUUCCCCCUCUCUCUCAAUUUCAUCAUAGGUAUCUAUCUCUUUAAGUACCAAAAUUAAAAUUACCACCAGAGAAAAUUCUUUAUUUCUUCAAUAUCAAUUGCAGCUUCAACCUUCCAGAAGCUAAUUAGUUAGCCCAAUCUUCCUCUUACUCUCACUCUCUCAGCUGCUAAUUACCUCAACAACUUGUUCAAAUCAUCCAUGUCUUUGUCUUCUUUAGGGUUUUGGGUCAAAGAAGAGGGCACCGACCGGCCGUUAUUCUUCUGAGUUUGCUUUCUUUUGCUUCUCUGGGGCCUCAAAGAUCUGACACUGAGAUCAUACAAUUUCAAUACAACUAAGAAACAAGGUGAAUCAUGAUGAACUUUGUGCAACAAGAAAAAGGGUAUUGUAAUAAUGAAGAAGAAGAUGAAGAGACGCCGGAAGUGAUAAGAGAAACCAGUAAGCAUCAUCCUUUUUCUUCUUCAUCCUCUUCCUCUUUUGCUUCUUCCAAGUACAAAACUUUUGUUCCUUCUCAUCAAAACCUAUGGUUGGGGAACUUUGAUUCUCAAGAACAGUACAAAAGCCAAGAAACAACAAUCAAUUUUGACAAGAAGCUUGAGCUGAUGGACUUAUCACUGGGAAAUAAUCAUAAUAAUAAUGAAGAACCCAGUACUGGAACUGCUGCAGGUACUGCUGAAGGUGAUAGUAGUAGUAGGUCUGUCGAGAAAGAACAUAUGUUUGAUAAAGUUGUAACACCAAGCGAUGUAGGCAAGCUAAACCGUCUUGUAAUUCCAAAACAACAUGCCGAAAAGUACUUUCCACUAGACUCUUCAUCGAACGAAAAAGGGCUUCUCUUGAAUUUCGAGGAUCGGAAUGGAAAAGCGUGGCGUUUCCGAUAUUCUUAUUGGAACAGUAGCCAGAGUUAUGUGAUGACUAAAGGAUGGAGCCGUUUUGUGAAGGAGAAGAAGCUUGAUGCAGGCGAUAUCGUUUCGUUUCAGAGAGGUGUGGGUGAGUCAGGUAAAGACCAUUUAUACAUUGAUUGGAGGCGGAGGCCUGAUGCUCCAGAUCCCACAUCUAUUGCGCAAAUACACCUCCAGAAUCAGCUACACUUUCAACAGUCGUUCCGGUGGGGUAGACUCUACUCACUUCCCCAAUCUCUCUCCGUUCCAAGAAACUAUGAGCAAUUGCAACGUCUAAAUUAUAGUAAUAUUUAUCCUUCUUAUUAUCAUCAUCAACAUCAACAUCAACAACACCAACACCAACACCAACAACAACAGCAGAUGUUUUCUUAUGGAAAUGCCUCACACCUUAAUUACCCAAUAAGGUCAUCAUCCUCAACACAGCAAAUUGGGGCAGUCCAAGAGGGAGGGAAUGCCCCGCUUGUCAUUGAUUCUGUGCCUGUUGUUCAUGGUAACACUGCUGCUAAAAGACUUAGGCUGUUCGGUGUAAACAUGGAGUGCUCUACACAAGAACAAUCGUCACCCGCUAUAGUUCAUGCCCCAAUGAGUUCAGUCUCUUACCUUCCUCCUCUCGAAUCAAGGCUACCCAAUAAUGCCUCAUUCUCCACAACGCAAUCUGAGUAUGCACACAAAGGAAAAUCUUCCUUGUCUUUUGAUUUGGAUCUAUAAGCUUAUAUAUCUAUAUAUAUCCAGUGAUCGAUAAACACACAAGAAGAAUAUCAUUACUGUGAAAAGUUGAAUUUCUUUUUGUUGUUUCCAUCACAUCUUAUUGCUAUAUAUGUGCAUUUGAAGAAAAUUAUAGAAACAUUUUAGCAUUUGAAUUUUAUUUUAUUUUUAUUUUUUUGCUGUUUUGUUUCUUUCUUCCUUCAGUUUUCAGUAAAUUAAUUAGUUAGUUGAGGUUUGGGAUUUGUAAAGAGCUAACUAGAGAUGAAAGAGAGUACAACAAUAUGGAAUUCAAAUCUUCAUAUGUACGUAUAAUAUAUAUUAUUAUAUAUAUAUAUUUAUACACAUAUUUCUCAGCUUAUAAUUAUUCCCAUCUUGGUUUCCAUAUUUUACUUGAGUAGGUCCUGGAUUUAGCAACUGUACACAUGCCCCGAUCGACUCUACCCAGUUUGUUGGGACUAAUUUUGUUGCUCUUUGGUUAUCAACUCUCUCUCUCUCUCUCUUUUUCUCCACUGACAGCAUUUUGUGAUAUAGUUAGCUAUGUAGCUAAACCAUGGGUAGCGUUAAAGCUGUUGCUUUCCCUCUUUUUCUCUUUUCUCGUUUGUUUCUAUAUAUUACCAAAGUUAGGUUAAAUCUUCCUACUGCUGCUGAAUAGUUAAGGAGUUAAGCAGUUGAUAGGCAGAAAGUUGCAGCUUUGUAAAAGCUACCUUCACAACAUACACAAAAAAGUCCUUUAUGUUAAAGGAGGUUUCCUAUCGUGAGACUAAGACUUCAGUGAAAGCUUCUAAUGAAUACAACUAUACACUGAUCGCCCGCAUGCAUCAAAAACUCGUCAUUUUUGCAUUUACCCAAGGAAAAAUAAGUGUAUACUAAGUAUUUAACAGUUAAUUAAAUUAAUUAGGUAUAGCAGUCGUAUAUAUAUAGUUCUCUCCAAAAGAGUUGUAAACAAUUUUUGUUGAGUUUUGUGGUGUAAAAGAAAGAAAGAACGAAAGUUUGUAAUAGUAUAAUGAAACUGCGUGGCCUAUUGCAUAUUUGAGAUGGUUGAAUUUGAAGACUGCGAUUAUAUAUUUA
Molecule: RNA transcript, 2813 nt
Organism: Pistacia vera
Lineage: Eukaryota; Viridiplantae; Streptophyta; Magnoliopsida; Sapindales; Anacardiaceae
Gene name: B3 domain-containing transcription factor NGA1-like
Exons: 4
Source: RefSeq, a predicted model, not a curated record